This 177-nucleotide ribosomal RNA is filed under the name uncultured soil bacterium. RNAcentral describes it as "partial 16S ribosomal RNA". It matches the Rfam family "Bacterial small subunit ribosomal RNA", at positions 355 to 524 of the family's 1533-position model. The record is from RNAcentral.
UGGGGAAUAUUGGACAAUGGGCGAAAGCCUGAUCCAGCCAUGCCGCGUGUGUGAAGAAGGUCUUCGGAUUGUAAAGCACUUUAAGUUGGGAGGAAGGGCAUUAACCUAAUACGUUAGUGUUUUGACGUUACCGACAGAAUAAGCACCGGCUAACUCUGUGCCAGCAGCCGCGGUAAU